Molecule: ribosomal RNA, 761 nt
Filed under: uncultured Mycobacterium sp.
Lineage: Bacteria; Bacillati; Actinomycetota; Actinomycetes; Mycobacteriales; Mycobacteriaceae
Description: bacterial SSU rRNA
Rfam family: Bacterial small subunit ribosomal RNA
Source: RNAcentral
GUCGCGUUGUUCGUGAAAUCUCACGGCUUAACUGUGAGCGUGCGGGCGAUACGGGCAGACUAGAGUACUGCAGGGGAGACUGGAAUUCCUGGUGUAGCGGUGGAAUGCGCAGAUAUCAGGAGGAACACCGGUGGCGAAGGCGGGUCUCUGGGCAGUAACUGACGCUGAGGAGCGAAAGCGUGGGGAGCGAACAGGAUUAGAUACCCUGGUAGUCCACGCCGUAAACGGUGGGUACUAGGUGUGGGUUUCCUUCCUUGGGCUCCGUGCCGUAGCUAACGCAUUAAGUACCCCGCCUGGGGAGUACGGCCGCAAGGCUAAAACUCAAAGGAAUUGACGGGGGCCCCCACAAGCGGCGGAGCAUGUGGAUUAAUUCGAUGCAACGCGAAGAACCUUACCUGGGUUUGACAUGCACAGGACGCGUCUAGAGAUAGGCGUUCCCUUGUGGCCUGUGUGCAGGUGGUGCAUGGCUGUCGUCAGCUCGUGUCGUGAGAUGUUGGGUUAAGUCCCGCAACGAGCGCAACCCUUGUCUCAUGUUGCCAGCGGGUAAUGCCGGGGACUCGUGAGAGACUGCCGGGGUCAACUCGAAGGAAGGUGGGGAUGACGUCAAGUCAUCAUGCCCCUUAUGUCCAGGGCUUCACACAUGCUACAAUGGCCGGUACAAAGGGCUGCGAUGCCGUAAGGUUAAGCGAAUCCUUUUAAAGCCGGUCUCAGUUCGGAUUGGGGUCUGCAACUCGACCCCAUGAAGUCGGAGUCGCUAGUAA